AUGUCGGACAUGAGCUUGAUGAGUGGAGGAGCCGGGCCCCAUGAGGAUGCUGACUUCCCACCCAUUGGUCAAAGCGUCCACCCUGAAUGGACCAGGUUGCUGGUGGACACUGAUCCCUGUGGCCAGGGCCUCCGAGCAUUUGGUGUUCAGCUCAUCGGGGACUCUGUGGACACCAGAGGGCAGAAUGGGACUCAGCCUGUGGGAUUCUGGCCUGGCUUCCCGGCAGCAAGCAGGAGCUUCAGAUGCUCAUUCCCGCCGCGGUCGGCUGUGGCGGCGACUCAUACCCGUUUCCGCUCGAAUGAUGCCAGCUGUCCUGCUGCGCCACCUUCCUCUGUCCUCGCAUCCGCUGAUGGGAUUUCCGGUCGCUUCCACUUUGUGGCUCUUUUGAAGAAUGCCGCUAGGAACAUUCACACGCAGGUUUUUGGUGUGGACGUAUGUUUGUAUUUCUCCUGGGCACACCCGGGAUGGAGCUGCUGGGUGGCAUGGAAUUCCACCUGUGACUUACUGAAGAGCUGCCAGGCAGUUUCCCAGAGGGGCUUCAUCGCUCUGCCUCCCCCCGCCGCUCCUCACCCCGCCGCUCCUCACCCCCCGCCGCUCCCCCACACACCCCCCGCCGCUCCACACACCCCCCGCCGCUCCCUCACACCCCCCGCCGCUCCCUCACACCCCCCGCCGCUCCCACACACACACCCCGCCGCUCCCUCACAGCCCCCGCCGCUCCCUCACACCCCCCGCCGCUCCCUCACAGCCCCCGCCGCUCCCACACACACACCCCGCCGCUCCCUCACAGCCCCCGCCGCUCCCCCCCACACCCCCCGCCGCUCCCUCACAUCCCCCGCCGCUCCCUCACACCCCCCGCCGCUCCCUCACACCCCCCGCCGCUCCCACACACACCCCCCGCCGCUCCCACACACACCCCCCGCCGCUCCCACACACACCCCCCGCCGCUCCCACACACACCCCCCGCCGCUCCCACACACACCCCCCGCCGCUCCCACACACACCCCCCGCCGCUCCCACACACACCCCCGCCGCUCCCACACACCCCCCGCCGCUCCCUCACACCCCCCGCCGCUCCCCCACACACCCCCCGCCGCUCCCCCACACACCCCGCCGCUCCCACACACACCCCCCGCCGCUCCCACACACACCCCCCGCCGCUCCCCCACACACCCCCCGCCGCUGGUCACGGGUCCACCCUUCAACUGCAGCCAUCCCAGGGGGUGUGAAGUGGAUCUCACUGUGGUUUUUAUUUUCAUUUCCCUGAUACAGAAUCCACAGAGACAUAAACAGACGAGUGGUUCUGAGGGGUGGGUGGGGUGGGGCGUGAGGCAGGGAGAAGAGGGAGAAGGUUCUGGAAUUAGAUGGUGGUGAUGGUCACACAAGGUGGUGAAUUGAACAUACUAAAAACCACUGACUUGUACCUUUUAAACUGGUGAAUUUUAUCCCAAUGAAAAAAAAACACCUUGUUCCUCCUUUGAGACCCAGCUCUCGCGCCCACUCCUCCAAGAGCCCGGGGUGUCUCUGCACCUCAUUCAUAUCACUGGUGUGACUUUUGUAUCUUGUGCUGUGAUGUGGACAGCAGACCCUUCUCCCUUGUAUGUUUAACACGCGUGUUGUGGUGUGGUGUGGUGUUGGCUGCUCAGGACACACCCUGUCGUCCACCGCACUCGGGGAGUUUCCUGCGUGACACUGGGGUCAGCAGCGUGGUUGGAAUCUGGUGAUGGAGCUGGUCCCUGCCCACAGCCCCCGCCACAUCAGUGGCUUUUCCCGCAGCUCCCCACAAAAGGAUGUGCCGCCUAGCAGAGAUGAGAAUCAGGUUUUCUUGUAAGAAAGAGUUGCUGAAGGAAAGCCGGUCACGUGCAGUGAUGUUGUGAAAGAAAGUGAUGACAAGCUAAAAAAAGAAGGACACUGAGAAAACAUUAUUAUCAGCAGAGUUUAUCUGGGCCAGAUUUGGGGACCCCAACCCCAGGAUGCUACCUCAGGAGUGUUCUGAGUUGCAGCGAUUACAAGCAGAUUUUUUAAGGACAAAAUGAGGAGAUGUGGCAAGGUGGUCCCAGCCCCUUCACCUAGAGGGGCCCUUGUUGACAGAGGUGAGCUGAUGAAUGAUCAGUUGAAGACUCCCGUGCUUCUGGGAAUAGUCAUUGUGAGCAUGUGGUCAGCCCGGUUGCUAGAAUUCUUCCCAUGAGCAGGUGGGGUCCAGGAACUUCAGGGGCUGACUGUGGCCUCAUGCCCAGUACCUUUAGCCAUUUUAAUUUACCAAACCUCAUUGUCCCAUUCUCUUUUCAGGUUCUUGGCCAUAAAAUAUGGCUUUUGGAAAAAUAAAGCUGAGACUUGGAGUUCACGGUGGGGGCUCCCCCAUCUGUGAACAGAAGCAGAAGUUUGGAACUGCCUUCUUUACUGCUCGAGAGGGAAAACUUGAGUGAAAACCAGGAUGCUGGCGAAUGUUGAGUAGCUAAGCUGCACAGGAAAUACCACUUGAUGACCUGCGAUCUGGGGAAGCCGCGCCAGGGCUCUGCGAAGCUGCGGACGAGGGAGGCGUCAGUGUGGGGGCUGCAGCUCAGCUCCGGGGGGGACGCGCCUUUCUCCACGGGACCUGGGGCUCAGGUGCUCACGAGGCUGGGGCGCUGCAGGCCACCCGCAGGGGAAACUGAGGCCCUCCAUUUUGUGGGGCUGGAAGACCUUUCCUUCCAAAAGCAGGUGUAGGCGGGAGCACCUGUGCAGUCCCUCUGUUCAGAUCCUCACCCACUUUUAAAUCAGGAAACAGCAGAUGAAAUGCACAGUGUGAAGGACAAGGAUUCUGCUGAGAGAAUUGCUCCGAGGGUUGCUCAAGUGAUCAUGGGAAAUAAUGCAUCAAACCAUUCUUUAGAUGCAGCUCAGGUGUGCCUUUUCUUCGCCUGUGCCCAUCCACCUGAGAUGGACCAUAACCAUAAAAGUCAGAAGGCACUGACCCUUCAGGACGUGACAGGGUUAAAAGAUGCUGGAGGGAAAGUCUGUCAUUGACUUUUAUUCACUUCCUUUCUCCAUUCUGCCAUUUGGAAGAAGGUAAGCAACUUAACACUAUUUUAGACCAUAUGUUGUAAACUAGCAGGAAAAUGCCUUUGAGCUGAUGAUGGUGGCCCGAACACAGUGAACCUGUCUUAAAUCCCUGCUUUAAACCCUUAAGGGUGUCACUUACAAGAGAUACUAUUUGAAGUCUUCCCAUGCAUGUGUAGGGUGGGGGGAGUACCAACAGCUCAUCGAAUGGGCUCCAUUUGAAAGAUCUGGAUGGUUGCCUUUAUUUGUAACUAGUUUCUUUUCUUUUUUUUUUUUUCCUUGAGAUGGAGUCUUGCUCUAUCACUGGGCUGGAGUGCAGUGGCGCAAUCUCAGCUCACUGCAACCUCUGCCUCCCAGGUUCAAGCGAUUCUCCUGCCUCAGCUUCCCGAGUAGCUGGGACUACAGGCAUGUGCCACCACACCCAGCUAAUUUAUGUUUUAUUUUUUAGUAGAGACAGGGUUUCACCAUGUUGGCCAGGAUGGUCACGAUCUCCUGACCUCAUGAUCUGCCUGCCUCGGCCUCCCAAAGUGCUGGGAUUACAGGCGUGAGCCACCGCGCCCGGCCGUAACUAGUUUCUUAGAUGACAGCUCAGUCCACAGGAUUGAGUUAAGUCAGCUUCCCAACUUUGGGGCUGAUCCUGUCCUCAUGGCAACCUAAGAAAGUCCACCAAGGAUGUUGUCCAUUGGAAGUUGUCAAGACUUUGUCCUCAUCCAAGACAAUUAGCUUCCCAUACUUAUAUAGAGGGACCCCGUCCCUAUCCCCAAAGUGGCUUCACACUCCUUAACUCAGCUGCCUGCCUGGAACAGAAGGAGAGUUGCUGGCCUCACUGACAGAGCAUGGGGCUGGUUGACAAUUCUAAAAGCCUGGCCUGUUCCUCUGAUUGGCUACUCAGAUAGGAGAACCAGAGCAGUAGCCCAGGCUGAUAAUCAGGAACCUGGGGCCCUGGAGUUACCUGCUGCUCCUGGUGUCUGCUAGAGCUCCCUAGACAUCUUUUUAGAUGGAGGUCUGUGGCUCAGUGUGCCAUCACGCUGUCCUGUUGGCUGCAGUCUCAAGCUGGGACAGAAUGAUCAGACUGAAUGCUUGUGUCUUCCCCAAACUUGUAUGUUGAAACCUAAUCCCCAAUAUCAGUGUGUUUGGAAGUGGAGCCUUUGGGAGGUGGUUAGCUCAUGAGGGUGGAGCCCUUAUGAAUGGGAUUAGUGUUUUUGUUGUUGUUGUUGUUUUUGAGAUGGAGUAUCACUCUGUCACCAGGCUGGAGUGCAAUGGCGCGAUCUCGGCUCACUGCAACUUCCGCCUCCCAGGUUCAAGUGAAUCUCCUGCCUCAGCCUUCCGAGUAGCUGGGACUACAGGCACGUGCCACCAUGCCCAGCUAAUUUUUGUAUUUUUAGUAGAGAUGGGGUUUCACCAUGUUGGCCAGGAUGGUCUUGAUCUCUUGACCUCAUGAUCUGCCCGCCUCAGCCUCCUAGAGUGCUGAGAUUACAGGCGUGAGCCCCCGUGCCUGGCCUUGAAUGGGAUUAGUGUUUUAAAGAGGCCUGAGAGAGACUCCUGGCCACUUUUGCCUUAUGAGGACACAGUGGAAAGGUCCCAUCCCUGAACCAGGAAAUGGGCACUUACCAGACACUGAAUCUGCCUGCAGCUUGACCUUGAACUUCCCAGCCUCCAGAACUCUGAGGAAUAAAUUUCUGUUAUGUGAUAAGCCA
This is a long non-coding RNA of Homo sapiens (human), 4733 nucleotides long. RefSeq annotates it as splicing factor 3A subunit 2. The transcript has 5 exons. Lineage: Eukaryota; Metazoa; Chordata; Mammalia; Primates; Hominidae. The record is from RefSeq and is a predicted model, not a curated record.